GACGAACGCUGGCGGCGUGCCUAAUACAUGCAAGUAGAACGCACAGUUUAUACCGUAGCUUGCUACACCAUAAACUGUGAGUUGCGAACGGGUGAGUAACGCGUAGGUAACCUGCCUGGUAGCGGGGGAUAACUAUUGGAAACGAUAGCUAAUACCGCAUAAUAUUGAUUAUUGCAUGAUAAUUGAUUGAAAGAUGCUAUUGCAUCACUACCAGAUGGACCUGCGUUGUAUUAGCUAGUAGGUGAGGUAACGGCUCACCUAGGCGACGAUACAUAGCCGACCUGAGGGUGAUCGGCCACACUGGGACUGAGACACGGCCCAGACUCCUACGGGAGGCAGCAGUAGGGAAUCUUCGGCAAUGGACGAAAGUCUGACCGAGCAACGCCGCGUGAGUGAAGAAGGUUUUCGGAUCGUAAAGCUCUGUUGUAAGAGAAGAACGGGUGUGAGAGUGGAAAGUUCACACUGUGACGGUAUCUUACCAGAAAGGGACGGCUAACUACGUG
This 503-nucleotide ribosomal RNA is filed under the name uncultured bacterium. Its description in RNAcentral is "partial 16S ribosomal RNA". It matches the Rfam family "Bacterial small subunit ribosomal RNA", at positions 28 to 507 of the family's 1533-position model. The record is from RNAcentral.